GGAGUGGAGUGGAGUGGAGUGGAGUGGAGUGGAGUGGAGAGGAGAGGAGAGGAGAAAAUGGCAGGCUGUAUGGAGCUGGCAGCAGGGCAGCCUGGUGCCUGCCAUCU
This 107-nucleotide microRNA precursor is filed under the name Tupaia belangeri (northern tree shrew). RNAcentral's name for it is "miRNA (ENSTBEG00000019838.1)". The record is from RNAcentral. Lineage: Eukaryota; Metazoa; Chordata; Mammalia; Scandentia; Tupaiidae.